GCCAGGUGAGGUGGCACAUGCCUGUAAUCCCAGUGUCUUGGGAGGCUGAGGCAGGAGAUUGCGAGUUCAAAGCCUGCCUCAGCAAUGGUGAGAUCCUGUCUCUA
Molecule: small RNA, 104 nt
Filed under: Marmota monax (woodchuck)
Lineage: Eukaryota; Metazoa; Chordata; Mammalia; Rodentia; Sciuridae
Source: RNAcentral